AAUAGUGUUUAUAACAUCAGGGAUCACGUUUCGGAUAAAAAGAGUACAGGCGUACCACCGAGCACAUCGCUACCUAAAAUUAAAUUGUGUUUCAAUUACUUUCACAUAGGUGUUUCUCAGCUGCUGUGACAGAUAUUAAAUUCGACCUUCGCCAAUGUUACUUUUGUUAAACUCCACACCAUUGCUUUUGUAUUGGUACAUCUAUAUAUCAUGUUGAAUGAUUGCUUUUGAAAAUUCAUUCAAGAGAGGAAUGCUGUUUUGUUCUAACGUCCCAUGACAUUUUAUCAUCCUUAGCCAGAUUAGUAGAUUUCAACGUGUUGAUGGAAAUUGGAACCUUAGAAGUCGUCUUUUGUUUCUGCUACUUGAAAAAGCCCUCUGGGAGACAGGGUUCCCAGAAAAUAUCUAAAGGUAUGCAUGCCCACACCAAAGAUAAGCAGCUGGUGAUGACUGACUUACAAAUCAAGUUUAAUAAUGGAGUUCCAUUGAUACGGCAGAACUGUUCUUUCUAGAUUUAAGAGACAGCAGCUAUAAGGGUUUGGAUUUUCAAUAAUUCCUGCCCACCCGUCUGCAGACGGUAUGUAUUAUAGAGAUAGAUGGUCAUGGCAUGCGGUACAUUGUGCACGUAAUGGAUGGAAUAAAGUUUUGGUCACAGAAUUCAGUCUUGUGAGAAACCUAUCCCAAAGUGACCAAGAAAUGCUGGCUGUAAUAACCCCGGGAUUACAAACACUGUCGGUUUAAUUAUUGAGACCUGCCCCCAUCCCCGGUGUUUUUUCAUGGUAGGAUUGUCUGCGAAUGAUAUUCUUAAUGUGAGGACAUUUUUGGGUGCACAUUUUUUUUAUAUUUCUGUUAGAUAUCACACCAUGUCUUUGAACCAUUCCUUAACUGGCACUUGGACACUACUGCAAAGCCGACAUGCCGUAAAUAAACAGUUACCAUCCAAGGGGCUCUCCUUAAGGAUCGAUCGACAUUCCAGGUUGGAUCAACGAUUCAUCACAGACACCCCACACGUGUUUCAUAUCUACCUAAGACGAAUGGCAAUGGGACAAAGUUAACUCUUAACAUUCCGAAGUGGCCCAUUGACACCAAAGAGUGUGUGUGUCUGUGGGUGUGAGUUUUUACAUGCUUAUAUACAUCAGAUAUGAUUAUUUACGUCUGGGACCGAUCUUAAGCGUCAGCAUCCGAUAGACGUGACCAGGGCUCGAACCUCGAACAUCUGCUUCAGUUCGUAACUUCGCUAUGUAGCUUGGAUUACAGGUGAAUACCACAACAGCCCAGUUCAAGAUCUACUUGAAUCAGAGGUAUAGCUGUAAUUUUGUUGAUAUGUAAGAGCUAAAAAAUGGGUUGAACAUCUCCCCUGUUUCUCAUUUUUAAACAAUUUGAUCACACAUUAUUCAAUGAACAAGUACGCACGGCGUGGAACUGAAAUUUAUUGAAUCAGUUUAAAAUUUCCCGGUACACUGUUAUUAUACGCUGCAACAUAUUAGUUUCUCCACAUUACGAAGGUCAUGUAGACUAUUUGAGAUAAACAUCGCACCAAGAUGGCUUCGCUUCUUGUUACGGUUUUGGUCAGCAUUGCUAUACCAUGCGUUUUGAUUGGCAUCGUUUGCAACGCUGUGGUCCUAUUUUGCAUUUUGUGCACCCCAUGUCUACGAACCCGGACCAACGCCAUUAUCAUCAGCCUUGCCUUCUCUAGUUUUUGUUUCCUAUUUUUUGUCGUGCCCUUCAUCAUAGACUCGUUUCUGACGAAUACCUGGAGAUACUCAAUGUGGUAUUGCCAUCUAACGGCCAGACUUUCGUUCAUGCUCGUUGGUGUUACCGUGAAUAACAUUGCAGUCUUGGGACUCUAUCGCUACUUCUGUGUAGUUCAGCGGUCAAAACCGGCUUUGCGCGGUAAAUGGUGCAUACUCAUCUUAAUCUCCGUAUGCUGGGCAUUGCCGAUGCUGUUCCAAUUAGUUUACACCUUCACAGGCUGGACAAAGUCCGUGUUUAUCCCAUCCUAUGGCAGAUGCAUUCUCGCGAAGAACUCCGUCACAUCUGGAAGAGCCUACGACGUCCUUCUGCUUUCUGGGAUUAUAAUACCAUUCCUGAUAGCGCUGUUCAGCUAUGGAAGCAUUAUCAUAGCGGUGAAAUCUAGCGCCCGCAAAGUACGAGCCGAGCCCAAAGCUUCCCAACGGAAAUCGAAUACUGAUCAGAAUGAAGAUGCCACAUACGCCGAAGGGGCGUCAACUUGCCCUGACCCAACAACUAUAUCCACCGACGGCAAGAGCGAAUCUCGUGAUACCGAACCGUCGUGUUCGAAAACAGCUGCGACGACGUCGCAAGUUGCUCGCAACGGUCGUAGACGCCGCGGUGUGAAGAAACGCGGGGUGAUCUCGCAUCAGGAAAUUGUCUUGACGAAGAUCUGCGCUGUCAUGUUUGUGUUUUUUUCAGCAUGCUACGGUCCUAUUUUAUUGCUGACAAUCGCCUUUUCAUCUACGGCAUUCCCACCGGACGCUUACACCACGUGCACAAUUAUCUAUUGGAUGGGCAGCUGUAUAAAUCCUAUUGUGUACGCGACACUGCAGACUGAGAUGCGAUUAGCAUUAAUGAAACUAAUUCCCCUGUUAACAUGUAAAGGGCAACGUCAAGUGCACAGUGUGAAUAUGUAGAAAUAAAAAUCGGCCUUCAUAUGUGAAAACAUGAUCUACGGAGUUGCAAGGUGGUUGCGCAUGGCCAGAAACUUAUCACAAGGCAGUGUGUUAAGAUCCAGUAUUAUAUCAACGAGUAUCUUUAUAAAGUUUACUGGAUUAAAUAGUUUUGUUUAAAAAAAAUCAAUUCCAUAUUUUAUUGUGCAAAAAAAAAAUCAGAAAUAGGAAUCCUCAGAAAAUUAAUUUUGCCCAAUGGAUCACGGGCCUGGCAGCCACUGAGCAGCGCCAGAUCGACGGUGCUCUAUCCCAUAAAUCGUUGAACGCCAAACAGUGUAGUAGGAAGUCCCAUCUUUUAACAUCUUUUGGUCAGACGCGGCCGGGGUCUGAACCCCCUACCUCCCGGUUGUGAGAUGGACGCUCUACCAACUGAGCCAACACACUGGUGCAACUUGAUGUAAUCGCAAUUAGUUUAGCGGCAAUGUCAUUUUAACGUUUACUCUAUCCAUAAAUAUUUUUAUCGUUGAUUGUAAAUCUGAUCAAACAUGCACACGCAAUAUUAAAACACAAAUCAUGUUCACCUUCAGCAGUUUGGGCACAUGUUAAAGGUUUUUAGAAUCUUUAUGAUGAAUCAUAAUCAGCUUGUUUUUAGACCUUAUAUGUAGGGAUGAAAAAAAAUAUGGCAAUGUGAUGAAAAUAUUUCAUGUAGUAAAUGAUAAUUUGAAUUUAUUAAAAAGUGAUAAAAUGUAUUGAUCAUGUUGAACUGUUGAAGUCUAAUCAAAGAGAGAGAGCAUGCAAGGUUCAUGGCCUAGUGGAGUAAACAUGGUAAAGAUCAUGAUGACUGGCACGGCAACUAUGGAUGGAGGAAGGAAGAUGAUUUGAAUUGUUCUUCUAUCAUACGAUGGAUAGACGAAUGAAUACAAACGAUAUGGUAUUAUCGGUGUUGAUGUGUGCAUGUUUUAAAGAAAUAUGCAGGUUUACAUGGUCAAUGAAAUCUUUAACUUUUACUCAAGAUAGAGUAAUACCCCAUCCUCACAAGAAAUUAGGUUAAAACCAAUUUUCAUAGAACAAUUUUGGUUUGCUUUGAAUGCAAAUUUCUACAUAGUUUAUGUCAGAAAUAAAAACCUGACUGGAGAGGUAAUAAUGGGGUAAUAUAUUUUUAGCAACAUGUGUGCGCAAUUCGAGUUUUAAACAAGGCUUUAUGCGUGUCUAGUGAUGAUAAUAUUCGUUAAGACUCAGAAAUCCAUAAAUCUACAUUUUUGUUAAAGAAAACGGAUUUUAUAUUGAAGUGUGUGUAUGAAUAUGCCUAUUCUGUUUAGUCACUUAAGCAACAUUUUAUAUCACACUUCUGAAUGAACAGAAAAGCACAUGUGGGAAACAUACUCCCUUCGAAAAUCCGUGAAUUGCUUCCUGAGUAUACACUAUUUUCAGUGAACAUUUACAUUUUUACUAAAAAACAGCAGCUCAUGGCUUUGUCAUCGAAAAUAACAUGUUGAUUUGAAGGUAUAAAUUAAAAUUAAACAAAAAUAGCGAACUUCAAAAAGUGAAAAGAUGGCGUAUGAAUUUAUCAUAUUUUAUUUCGUUCAUUACGUUUUACAAGAUACCCCCCCCCCAAAA
Lytechinus pictus (painted urchin) is the source of this 4241-nucleotide RNA transcript. It is a transcript of the gene named G-protein coupled receptor moody-like, with no coding region annotated. Lineage: Eukaryota; Metazoa; Echinodermata; Echinoidea; Temnopleuroida; Toxopneustidae. The transcript is spliced from 2 exons. The record is from RefSeq and is a predicted model, not a curated record.